RNAcentral lists this ribosomal RNA (519 nucleotides) under uncultured bacterium. Its description in RNAcentral is "bacterial SSU rRNA". It matches the Rfam family "Bacterial small subunit ribosomal RNA", at positions 8 to 526 of the family's 1533-position model. The record is from RNAcentral.
AGAGUUUGAUCCUGGCUCAGGACGAACGCUGGCGGCGUGCUUAACACAUGCAAGUCGAACGGUAAGGCCCUUUCGGGGGUACACGAGUGGCGAACGGGUGAGUAACACGUGGGUGACCUGCCCCCUACUCUGGGAUAAGCCUGGGAAACUGGGUCUAAUACCGGAUAUGACAUGGUCCUGCAUGGGGUUGUGUGGAAAGCCAGUUACGUUAGUGUUUCUGGCGGUGGGGGAUGGGCCCGCGGCCUAUCAGCUUGUUGGUGGGGUGAUGGCCUACCAAGGCUUCGACGGGUAGCCGGCCUGAGAGGGCGUCCGGCCACACUGGGACUGAGACACGGCCCAGACUCCUACGGGAGGCAGCAGUGGGGAAUAUUGCGCAAUGGGCGAAAGCCUGACGCAGCGACGCCGCGUGAGGGACGAAGGCCUUCGGGUUGUAAACCUCUUUCAGCAGGGACGAAGCGAAAGUGACGGUACCUGCAGAAGAAGCACCGGCCAACUACGUGCCAGCCGCCGCGGUAAUAC